UUCCUACGGGAGGCUGCAGUAGGGAAUAUUGCACAAUGGAGGAAACUCUGAUGCAGCGACGCCGCGUGAGUGAUGAAGGCCUUCGGGUCGUAAAGCUCUGUCGUAUGGGACUAACAAAAUGAAGGUACCAUGCAAGAAAGGAUCGGCUAACUUCGUGCCAGCAGCCGCGGUAAGACGAGGGAUCCUAGCGUUGUUCGGAAUUAUUGGGCGUAAAGCGGGUGUAGGCGGUCUUAUAAGUCAGGUGUGAAAUCCCAGGGCUCAACCCUGGAAGUGCACUUGAUACUGUAAGACUUGAGUGUGGUAGAGGCUAUUAGAAUUCCUGGUGUAGUGGUGAAAUACGUAGAUAUCAGGAGGAAUACCGGAGGCGAAGGCGGAUAGCUGGGCCAACACUGACGCUGAGACCCGAAAGCGUGGGGAUCAAACAGGAUUAGAUACCCCAGUAGUC
RNAcentral lists this ribosomal RNA (445 nucleotides) under uncultured Bdellovibrio sp. Its description in RNAcentral is "bacterial SSU rRNA". It matches the Rfam family "Bacterial small subunit ribosomal RNA", at positions 336 to 795 of the family's 1533-position model. The record is from RNAcentral. Lineage: Bacteria; Pseudomonadati; Bdellovibrionota; Bdellovibrionia; Bdellovibrionales; Pseudobdellovibrionaceae.